Molecule: ribosomal RNA, 495 nt
Filed under: uncultured bacterium
Lineage: Bacteria
Description: bacterial SSU rRNA
Rfam family: Bacterial small subunit ribosomal RNA
Source: RNAcentral
AUUGAACGCUGGCGGAAUGCUUUACACAUGCAAGUCGAACGGCAGCACGGACUUCGGUCUGGUGGCGAGUGGCGAACGGGUGAGUAAUACAUCGGAACGUGCCCGGACGUGGGGGAUAACUACUCGAAAGAGUGGCUAAUACCGCAUACGAUCCAAGGAUGAAAGCGGGGGAUCGCAAGACCUCGCGCGUUUGGAGCGGCCGAUGGCAGAUUAGGUAGUUGGUGAGGUAAAGGCUUACCAAGCCUGCGAUCUGUAGCUGGUCUGAGAGGAUGAUCAGCCACACUGGGACUGAGACACGGCCCAGACUCCUACGGGAGGCAGCAGUGGGGAAUUUUGGACAAUGGGCGAAAGCCUGAUCCAGCCAUUCCGCGUGCAGGAUGAAGGCCCUCGGGUUGUAAACUGCUUUUGUACGGAACGAAAAGGCUCUUGCUAAUACCAGGAGUCCAUGACGGUACCGUAAGAAUAAGCAACCGGCUAACUACGUGCCAGCAGCCG